AACUAUUUUAAUGCUGCCUGCUACCGCUCUAGUUAGAAUUUUAAUUACCAAUGUUUCUGCAUUUGUUUAUGGCAGCAUAUAAUGAACUCUCUUACGUGUCCCCUAGCAGGGUCUGCUACAUGGAUCUUGGUACUCCAUUUCGUGUGACCCAAACUAUAUCCUCCAUAUAUUUAAUACUCAAGACAUUUCUUCAAAUAUUCGCCACAUCUUUCCAGCUUUCUCCUUCCUGAGGCUUUUAUCUUGUAUCUUCAUCAUAACAUCAUAUCUUCUCACUGAUGCCUUUAGACAAACCAUCCCAAAGGAGUUUCAUUCCUAUUAUAUUCUCUCAUCUUGUCGUCAAUUGAAGUCAUGCCAACUACUUUAGGGAUGCGGUAAAUUUAAAUUAUAUCUUUCCUUGAGUAUCCAGACAUCAACUAGAUCAUUCAUUUUUGCCAAAAUCAUUUUCCACUGUUGUUCAUAUAACGGUAUUGACCCCAAUUACUUCGCAAUAUUAACAGUGUUAGUGUUGGUGUUGGUGCUGGAAGAUAUCAAUUAUUUUAUGUCAGUUAUAUUUUGUUGUGGUACAGGAUACCAUUUGCGCUACUCGACUUCAUCUAUUCUUCUUGUAUCCAUGGCAAUAUCCCCCUUUCUCCUCUAUUUGCAAAACUAGUCGAAUGCCUUGUGCCAUGCACAGGAUUUAUAUCUCCUCGAAAUGUUCCGAUACUAAUGUAGUUGUAGUUUUCUACCCCUUUAAUUAGAGUUUAAUAAGUAUACGCUGAAGACCGCUAUAAAGAUUAUUAAAGGUCAAUCUCGUGCAGAAGAGGCAAUGUCUAAAUUUAUGGUGGGAUCUGAGUCAGAUAUCAAUUAAGUGAUUCAUCUACCUUAUAGAAUUAAUGGGACUUAAAUUUCAGGUGGUAAAUUUUAUUUGGUAUCUGCCUAGUGAUACAGAAAAUAUAUUAUUCUGCAGUAGAAGUCUCUCAUAAAUUGCGAUUUUUAGUUUAAAUUAGUUUGUGAUUCACCGAAAUGGUUCCAGGUUAAUCUUAACACUGUUACUGUUAAUUUAUGAUAUACAAUAACCUAUCUCGUGUCUUUGCUUGAGUGGAAUGUCAAUCAUACUUUAUGGACUGUUUGUUGCUAUUACCUGAUUUUUUCCUACAUACUGUAUACAAUUAUUCAAGAUGAAAAUAACAAAAAGUUAUUGGAAACAUAUUUGUCUGCUGAUCAAAUUUGUAGGAAUAUAGGCCAAUACUCAACAACUUGUGUUUCAAUGAUAGCUAAGGCGGUCAGGCUACCUUCACUAAAUAAAAAUAACAUCAGUGGAAUUUAUUGUUAGUGUUUACUAUUUCACUAGUAAUAAGUCUGUGAAGAAUUGUAGAUAGUUAACGUAAUUUGAACAAUGACUUGUUUUCGUUAGUGAAAAAGCUAAUAUUCCAAUUUCAGGUUGAAUACUUUAUACACUUGAUUAUGUGUGUUUCUGUGAUAUGAGAAAGUUAUGGU
Long non-coding RNA from Rhodamnia argentea, 1476 nucleotides. RefSeq lists it as uncharacterized. Lineage: Eukaryota; Viridiplantae; Streptophyta; Magnoliopsida; Myrtales; Myrtaceae. The record is from RefSeq and is a predicted model, not a curated record. The transcript has 2 exons.